Oxyura jamaicensis (ruddy duck) is the source of this 961-nucleotide long non-coding RNA. RefSeq lists it as uncharacterized. The transcript has 2 exons. The record is from RefSeq and is a predicted model, not a curated record. Lineage: Eukaryota; Metazoa; Chordata; Aves; Anseriformes; Anatidae.
GGUAGAGAGCUGCAUUCACUUAGGAUUUUCCAAGAGCAACAAAGCAACAGUCGGGAGAGAGAGAGACGAGGCUUGAAGUGCUGCUGUGGACGAACCCAAAGCUCCGAGUGUCCUGCACAGCGAGGAUGGAUGUCGCCCAGCAAUCUCUGAGGUAUGAAUUAUGUAGAAGAUGCAGAGCAAAUGAGUUGAAGCACAGGCGGAUCCUCGCCCAGCCAGAGCAGCUGCAGUGCCUGAGCCUCCAGCCCCCUCCAUGUGGAGCAUCCCCACAAGCAUCUCCUGGGCCCAUCAGCCACGAGCAUCUCGCUGGUGACCUGGGAGCUUUCUGAAACCCAAGAAAACUCAGAGGGCAAAGGGGGGGGGGAGAGGGGAUAACUUCUGUGAGCCUCCCUGCAGAUGUAGCUGCUAAAAGCCAGAGCUCAGAGAGCUGGUGGUCUUAUCAGUGCUCAGCAGUGGGGAUCGUUUCUGAUGGGCUUGGAUGUGAAGCCAGGUCAGGUAUUCCACCCGUGUCUUAGGAUCAGGAGCUUUGGAUCUUCCCUGGCGUGCACUAUGUCACUUGGUGUCAUUACAGCUAGCUCUGUGCUCCAAGCAGGUAAAGCUUCCUUCGGCACCCGCAUCCUGCUGGCCAUGUCUCACGCCCAAAGCCAAACGUGACCCCGUGAUAUAGCUCCAAGCACAAAAAUGAGAGCAUGGCUUCUCACCUAAAAAUAAAUGCUUGUUUGUGACUUGGAGCCUGGAAGCUGAGUGUCUGCCUCAGAUUGCCACCAGGUCUCAUGGUAGUUGGCAUCUUUUACUUGCUUUCAGUUUUAAACCCAAAAUUCUACCAUUUUUUGUAAAGCCACAUUUAAUGUUGCAUUUGUAUGUGCUAAGGGAUAAGGGAAAGGUUUUACUGCUUGCAUUAUUUAUGAAUGGUAUAAUUUCACGGUAUCUGUAUUAAAAUAAGGUUCCAACUGGAAAAUAAUAU